UAGCGCGGUGGUCCCACCUGACCCCAUGCCGAACUCAGAAGUGAAACGCCGUAGCGCCGAUGGUAGUGUAGGGUCUCCCCAUGCGAGAGUAGGGAACUGCCAGACA
This 106-nucleotide ribosomal RNA is filed under the name Shigella sonnei. The record is from RNAcentral. Lineage: Bacteria; Pseudomonadati; Pseudomonadota; Gammaproteobacteria; Enterobacterales; Enterobacteriaceae.